RNAcentral lists this ribosomal RNA (464 nucleotides) under uncultured bacterium. RNAcentral describes it as "partial 16S ribosomal RNA". It matches the Rfam family "Bacterial small subunit ribosomal RNA", at positions 28 to 507 of the family's 1533-position model. The record is from RNAcentral.
GACGAACGCUGGCGGCGUGCUUAACACAUGCAAGUCGAACGGAAAGGCCCUGCUUGCAGGGUACUCGAGUGGCGAACGGGUGAGUAACACGUGGGUGAUCUGCCCUGCACUUCGGGAUAAGCCUGGGACACUGGGUCUAAUACCGGAUAGGAGCCAUCUUUAGUGUGAUGGUUGGAAAGUUUUUUCGGUGUAGGAUGACCUCGCGGCCUAUCAGCUUGUUGGUGGGGUAAUGGCCUACCAAGGCGGCGACGGGUAGCCGGCCUGAGAGGGCGACCGGCCACAUUGGGACGGGAAUACGGCCAGGAUCCUUCCGGGGGGAGGAGGGGGGAAUAAUGCAAAAUGGGGGGGAGGCUGGUGGAAGGAAGGCGCGUGGGGGGAGACCGGCUUCGGGUUGGAAAACCGUUUCGAGAGGGACGAAGCUUUUUGGGACGGUAACUAGAUGAGAAGCAACGGCUAACUACGGG